AUUGAACGCUGGCGGCAGGCCUAACACAUGCAAGUCGAGCGAGUGGCGGACGGGUGAGUAAUGCUUGGGAAUCUGGCUGAUGGAGGGGGAUAACUACGGGACACUGUAGCUAAUACCGCAUACCAUAGGAUGAGCCCAAGUGGGCUUAGGUAGUUGGUGAGGUAAAGGCUCACCAAGCCGACGAUCCCUAGCUGGUCUGAGAGGAUGACCAGCCACACUGGGACUGAGACACGGCCCAGACUCCUACGGGAGGCAGCAGGGGGGAAUAUUGCGCAAUGGGGGCAACCUGACGCAGCCAUGCCGCGUGAAUGAAGAAGGCCUUCGGGUUGUAAAGUUCUUUCGGUGGCGAGGCGUUACCCACAGAAGAAGCACCGGCUAACUCCGUGCCAGCAGCCGCGGUAAUUC
Molecule: ribosomal RNA, 405 nt
Filed under: uncultured bacterium
Lineage: Bacteria
Description: partial 16S ribosomal RNA
Rfam family: Bacterial small subunit ribosomal RNA
Source: RNAcentral